CUUGAGCAUCUCGAUUCGCCGUUAGCCCAGCGUUGUAUGCUCUUUUCUUCUCUCUCUCUCUCUCUCUCUCUCUCCUGCUGUCUCGUCCUCGCUCGCUCGUUCGCUCUCUCUUCUUCUUUCCCGCAACACCACACGAGGGAAUCGUCCGUCGCACGUCACACGCAGGUACCGGAUUGCACGCACGUUAACCGCCGGUCGCGCGUAAUUAACGCAUUCUUGAAUGAACGUCGCGCUGGAUCACGUCCGCGCGCGCGGUUACGAGACGCCGCCACCGCCGCCGCUGCCGCGUUAUUUACCGUCCGAUUCGGCGCUGUGUUCACGGUGAACGCGCGCGACCGCGCGAGCUCCGAUAUAACACCGCCCGCGCGCACACGUCAGUGUCCCUUUCUCUUUCAGUAUUAUCCACCCGCGUCCGGUCUGGUUUCCCGCCCCGCGCGUCGCCGCAACGUCCGUCGCUCCUCUUUUUUCUUCUCCCUCGCGCGCGCGCGCGCACGCGUGUGCACGUUUGCGACAGCGACAGCGACACUCUCGUGGCGACCGGAGCUCGUUGCGCUCGAGGAAUCGCGCGAUGUGUCAGCUCGCCGCGCGACACCGAUCCAAGUUGCUCUAUGCGAAUACGGCACCGAAGCACACCCUCCGCCGCUGGGGGGACGCUCGUGGACGAGGAUCGUAGUCCGAAUACGACGGGGCGGCGCCCAGGUGUUUCACGACGGAGCGCCGGGCGAAAAAACGUGCAACGAUGCGCGGCGCAACGGAACGCAGAACCAUCGAAACGCACACACCACGGGACAACCAGGAGGCGUGCGUGCGCGCGCGAUCACUCCACGUCGCUUGCUACUCCGCGUCUCUCUCUCUCUCUCCCGCCUGCUCCCGCCGUCGGCGCGUAUACUCGACCGCUCGCAUCGGCGUCGUCGACUUUCCCACCGCGCCACCCGCCGCGAGUCGCUCCUGGUCUGUCCUGGUCGCGCCACUCCAAACUCCAAGUCGCUCUCUGAGUCCGAGCAAGUCCGAGUUUCCGCCGACUUCGAGCGUGUUCCUUCGGCCUCGCUCGGCCGCGCUCGGCUACCCCCGGUCGCGCUCGUCGCUUUGCCGGCGGGUGCGCCCGAACGAACAAUGACCUCGAUCCAUCGACGACGCCAUCGCGCGUCGGCCAUUACUAAUCAUCUUCCUAGCCGACGAAAUCGUCUGAUCGUCGCGUUGGAUUCGUUUCGAUCUUCUCGUCGUCGUCGUCGAUUGGACUUCGUUUUGAUCUAGCGUACCACGCUUUGCGUGUGCAACAUCCCGAUGAUAUCGAUCUCAUGCACAGCCGACGAAAUACGUGACGUAUAAAGAGUCACUCUGCGAACGAAGCCCAAGGAUCACAGCUGCGCCGCAGAGUUUCUUUAUAGCAUACUCGCAUCUUUAAGGAUGCGGAGGAAGUAGAAGAAAUUAGAUUCACGAGCACGAGCGGCUGAUGACAGCUUCGACCGCCAGAAGUAAUGAGAGCCGGAUGCGAUCCAACUUCUGGCAGGAAGAUGUCCAUUUUCAUAAAUGAUCGAAGUACCCGUUCAGCGCGGAGACUGUAGUCCGUGGCAGUUUCAUCAGAAUUUGCAUAAGGACCGAGAGCACAGACUGGAGAGGAGCGCAUCCGCGGCCAAACUGAAUUAGCUUCAACAAUAACGACGCUGAUGAUGCUCCGCGAUGGCAAGGUCGCGUAAUAUCGCGAAAAUCCAUCAUCCCAUGCUUUUAUAAUCCACUUUGAUUUUUUUCUCUCAAUGCCUCAGAUUGCAUGCAUUAAUGCAACGCGAGUCCUUGGAAAUGGACGAACAAUUUCCAUUGUGAUGCGUUCUCACAGAGAGAUUCUUUAAAGCGCACGUACAUAGAACCAGGAAUCACGCGUUUUAUCUAUUCCUUGUCGAAAUCUCUCGGCGUAAAUUUCAUUGGACACGCUAUAGUCUUACAGUUCUUUCUAUGAAUUAUCCCGAGAUUGAAACCUCUUUCUUCCCUUGUGUGCAGGAAUAUAUUUAUCUUUCAAAUGCACAGGUGGCGCGGAAAAGAUGUGAUUGAAAGAAAUAAAUCUUAUCUCUUAAAACUUCUGGCUAGUACAAAUGCAGAUAAAUUUCAGGCUACUGAACUGGCGUACACUCAGAAAAGGUCAACAAAUAUUUGUUUGACUCAAAGAAACUUGUACGUUGCUUAAAGAAAAGAUUUUUUUAUUUGAAGAAAUUUUUUACUUGUUCCUUUUAUCAGAAUUAAAAAAGUAGUUUGGUUGUGCAAAACCAAACGCAAACCUUUUUUUAAAUGAAAGAAAUAUAUUUUUAAAACCAAAACAACCAAAUUAUUUCUUACAUUUUUAUCA
Solenopsis invicta (red fire ant) is the source of this 2338-nucleotide RNA transcript. It is a transcript of the gene named protein C10, with no coding region annotated. The record is from RefSeq and is a predicted model, not a curated record. Lineage: Eukaryota; Metazoa; Arthropoda; Insecta; Hymenoptera; Formicidae. The transcript has 2 exons.